This 465-nucleotide ribosomal RNA is filed under the name Vreelandella stevensii. RNAcentral's name for it is "partial 16S ribosomal RNA". It matches the Rfam family "Bacterial small subunit ribosomal RNA", at positions 338 to 795 of the family's 1533-position model. The record is from RNAcentral. Lineage: Bacteria; Pseudomonadati; Pseudomonadota; Gammaproteobacteria; Oceanospirillales; Halomonadaceae.
CCUACGGGGGGCAGCAGUGGGGAAUAUUGGACAAUGGGGGCAACCCUGAUCCAGCCAUGCCGCGUGUGUGAAGAAGGCCCUCGGGUUGUAAAGCACUUUCAGUGAGGAAGAACGCCUGGUGGUUAAUACCCAUCAGGAAAGACAUCACUCACAGAAGAAGCACCGGCUAACUCCGUGCCAGCAGCCGCGGUAAUACGGAGGGUGCGAGCGUUAAUCGGAAUUACUGGGCGUAAAGCGCGCGUAGGUGGCUUGAUAAGCCGGUUGUGAAAGCCCCGGGCUCAACCUGGGAACGGCAUCCGGAACUGUCAAGCUAGAGUGCAGGAGAGGAAGGUAGAAUUCCCGGUGUAGCGGUGAAAUGCGUAGAGAUCGGGAGGAAUACCAGUGGCGAAGGCGGCCUUCUGGACUGACACUGACACUGAGGUGCGAAAGCGUGGGUAGCAAACAGGAUUAGAUACCUUUGUAGUC